Molecule: long non-coding RNA, 648 nt
Filed under: Homo sapiens (human)
Lineage: Eukaryota; Metazoa; Chordata; Mammalia; Primates; Hominidae
Description: non-protein coding lnc-SCAF11-3:1
Source: RNAcentral
AUGUUGAAGGGGCAGGUUCUGGUGAUCGAUGGCCUAGGCCUCUCCUGAGUUGCCUGGUGGUCAUAAUGGCCAAGCAAGUACUGCUGGGCAGGAAGCUGGAGGUCCUGCACUGCAAGGACAUCAGCAUUUUUGUCAACUUCUACAGGAACAAGUUUCAGUAUCUAACCUUCCACAAGACCAGGAGCACCAACUCUGUCUUUAGACCCUACCACUUCUGGGUCUCUUCUACUUUCGGGCACCUAACUGCAUCUUUUGGCUGAACCAUGAGUGGUAUAUUGCCCCAUAAAACCAAGUGAGGCCUGGCCACCUGGACCACCUCAAGGUAUUUGAUGGGAUCCACACCCCCUGUGCCCUGCCCUUUGCAAAAGUGGAUGGUGAUUUCUACUCUACUCAAGGUUGUGCACCUGAAGCCCACACUGAAGUUUGCCUACCUGGGGCACCUGGUUCAUAAAUUUGCCUGGAAGUACCAACCAGUGACAGCCAUUCUGGAGGAGAAGAGGAAGGAGAAGGUCAAGAUCCAUUAGGAGAAAGAAUGGGGAGGGGCAAAGGGAGAAGGAGCAGUUUAUGAGGCUGCAGAAACAGGCUGAGAAGAAUCUGAAGAAUAUCGACAAAUACACAGAGAUACUCAAGACCCAAGGACUCCUAGUC